UACGUAGGGUGCGAGCGUUGUCCGGAAUUAUUGGGCGUAAAGGGCUCGUAGGCGGUUUGUCGCGUCGGGAGUGAAAUCACCGGGCUUAACUCGGUGCUUGCUUUCGAUACGGGCAGACUAGAGGUAUGCAGGGGAGAACGGAAUUCCUGGUGUAGCGGUGAAAUGCGCAGAUAUCAGGAGGAACACCGGUGGCGAAGGCGGUUCUCUGGGCAUUACCUGACGCUGAGGAGCGAAAGUGUGGGGAGCGAACAGG
Molecule: ribosomal RNA, 253 nt
Filed under: uncultured bacterium
Lineage: Bacteria
Description: partial 16S ribosomal RNA
Rfam family: Bacterial small subunit ribosomal RNA
Source: RNAcentral